Molecule: ribosomal RNA, 465 nt
Filed under: uncultured bacterium
Lineage: Bacteria
Description: partial 16S ribosomal RNA
Rfam family: Bacterial small subunit ribosomal RNA
Source: RNAcentral
GACGAACGCUGGCGGCAUGCUUAACACAUGCAAGUCGUACGGUAAGGCCCUUUCGGGGGUACACGAGUGGCGAACGGGUGAGUAACACGUGAGUAACCUGCCCACAACUUUGGGAUAACGCUAGGAAACUGGUGCUAAUACUGGAUAUGUGCUCCUGCUGCAUGGUGGGGGUUGGAAAGCUCCGGCGGUUGUGGAUGGACUCGCGGCCUAUCAGCUUGUUGGUGGGGUAGUGGCCUACCAAGGCGGCGACGGGUAGCCGGCCUGAGAGGGUGACCGGCCACAUUGGGACUGAGAUACGGCCCAGACUCCUACGGGAGGCAGCAGUGGGGAAUAUUGCACAAUGGGCGCAAGCCUGAUGCAGCAACGCCGCGUGCGGGAUAACGGCCUUCGGGUUGUAAACCGCUUUCAGCAGGGACGAAGCUUUUUGUGACAGUACCUGCAGAAGAAGCACCGGCUAACUACGUG